GAUGAACGCUGGCGGCGUGCCUAAUACAUGCAAGUCGAGCGAACAGAUAAAGAGCUUGCUCCUUUGACGUUAGCGGCGGACGGGUGAGUAACACGUGGGUAACCUACCUAUAAGACUGGAAUAACUCCGGGAAACCGGGGCUAAUGCCGGAUAACAUUUAGAACCGCAUGGUUCUAAAGUGAAAGAUGGUUUUGCUAUCACUUAUAGAUGGACCCGCGCCGUAUUAGCUAGUUGGUAAGGUAACGGCUUACCAAGGCAACGAUACGUAGCCGACCUGAGAGGGUGAUCGGCCACACUGGAACUGAGACACGGUCCAGACUCCUACGGGAGGCAGCAGUAGGGAAUCUUCCGCAAUGGGCGAAAGCCUGACGGAGCAACGCCGCGUGAGUGAUGAAGGUCUUCGGAUCGUAAAACUCUGUUAUUAGGGAAGAACAAAUGUGUAAGUAACUGUGCACGUCUUGACGGUACCUAAUCAGAAAGCCACGGCUAACUACGUG
This 497-nucleotide ribosomal RNA is filed under the name uncultured bacterium. Its description in RNAcentral is "partial 16S ribosomal RNA". It matches the Rfam family "Bacterial small subunit ribosomal RNA", at positions 28 to 507 of the family's 1533-position model. The record is from RNAcentral.